Molecule: ribosomal RNA, 2902 nt
Filed under: Escherichia coli TW09109
Lineage: Bacteria; Pseudomonadati; Pseudomonadota; Gammaproteobacteria; Enterobacterales; Enterobacteriaceae
Description: bacterial LSU rRNA
Rfam family: Bacterial large subunit ribosomal RNA
Source: RNAcentral
UUAAGCGACUAAGCGUACACGGUGGAUGCCCUGGCAGUCAGAGGCGAUGAAGGACGUGCUAAUCUGCGAUAAGCGUCGGUAAGGUGAUAUGAACCGUUAUAACCGGCGAUUUCCGAAUGGGGAAACCCAGUGUGUUUCGUCACACUAUCAUUAACUGAAUCCAUAGGUUAAUGAGGCGAACCGGGGGAACUGAAACAUCUAAGUACCCCGAGGAAAAGAAAUCAACCGAGAUUCCCCCAGUAGCGGCGAGCGAACGGGGAGGAGCCCAGAGCCUGAAUCAGUGUGUGUGUUAGUGGAAGCGUCUGGAAAGGCGCGCGAUACAGGGUGACAGCCCCGUACACAAAAAUGCACAUGCUGUGAGCUCGAUGAGUAGGGCGGGACACGUGGUAUCCUGUCUGAAUAUGGGGGGACCAUCCUCCAAGGCUAAAUACUCCUGACUGACCGAUAGUGAACCAGUACCGUGAGGGAAAGGCGAAAAGAACCCCGGCGAGGGGAGUGAAAAAGAACCUGAAACCGUGUACGUACAAGCAGUGGGAGCACAGAGCAAUCUGUGUGACUGCGUACCUUUUGUAUAAUGGGUCAGCGACUUAUAUUCUGUAGCAAGGUUAACCGAAUAGGGGAGCCGAAGGGAAACCGAGUCUUAACUGGGCGUUAAGUUGCAGGGUAUAGACCCGAAACCCGGUGAUCUAGCCAUGGGCAGGUUGAAGGUUGGGUAACACUAACUGGAGGACCGAACCGACUAAUGUUGAAAAAUUAGCGGAUGACUUGUGGCUGGGGGUGAAAGGCCAAUCAAACCGGGAGAUAGCUGGUUCUCCCCGAAAGCUAUUUAGGUAGCGCCUCGUGAAUUCAUCUCCGGGGGUAGAGCGCUGUUUCGGCAAGGGGGUCAUCCCGACUACCAACCCGAUGCAAACUGCGAAUACCGGAGAAUGUUAUCACGGGAGACACACGGCGGGUGCUAACGUCCGUCGUGAAGAGGGAAACAACCCAGACCGCCAGCUAAGGUCCCAAAGUCAUGGUUAAGUGGGAAACGAUGUGGGAAGGCCCAGACAGCCAGGAUGUUGGCUUAGAAGCAGCCAUCAUUUAAAGAAAGCGUAAUAGCUCACUGGUCGAGUCGGCCUGCGCGGAAGAUGUAACGGGGCUAAACCAUGCACCGAAGCUGCGGCAGCGACACUGUGUGUUGUUGGGUAGGGGAGCGUUCUGUAAGCCUGUGAGGGUGUGCUGUGAGGCAUGCUGGAGGUAUCAGAAGUGCGAAUGCUGACAUAAGUAACGAUAAAGCGGGUGAAAAGCCCGCUCGCCGGAAGACCAAGGGUUCCUGUCCAACGUUAAUCGGGGCAGGGUGAGUCGACCCCUAAGGCGAGGCCGAAAGGCGUAGUCGAUGGGAAACAGGUUAAUAUUCCUGUACUUGGUGUUACUGCGAAGGGGGGACGGAGAAGGCUAUGUUGGCCGGGCGACGGUUGUCCCGGUUUAAGCGUGUAGGCUGGUUUUCCAGGCAAAUCCGGAAAAUCAAGGCUGAGGCGUGAUGACGAGGCACUACGGUGCUGAAGCAACAAAUGCCCUGCUUCCAGGAAAAGCCUCUAAGCAUCAGGUAACAUCAAAUCGUACCCCAAACCGACACAGGUGGUCAGGUAGAGAAUACCAAGGCGCUUGAGAGAACUCGGGUGAAGGAACUAGGCAAAAUGGUGCCGUAACUUCGGGAGAAGGCACGCUGAUAUGUAGGUGAAGUCCCUCGCGGAUGGAGCUGAAAUCAGUCGAAGAUACCAGCUGGCUGCAACUGUUUAUUAAAAACACAGCACUGUGCAAACACGAAAGUGGACGUAUACGGUGUGACGCCUGCCCGGUGCCGGAAGGUUAAUUGAUGGGGUCAGCGCAAGCGAAGCUCUUGAUCGAAGCCCCGGUAAACGGCGGCCGUAACUAUAACGGUCCUAAGGUAGCGAAAUUCCUUGUCGGGUAAGUUCCGACCUGCACGAAUGGCGUAAUGAUGGCCAGGCUGUCUCCACCCGAGACUCAGUGAAAUUGAACUCGCUGUGAAGAUGCAGUGUACCCGCGGCAAGACGGAAAGACCCCGUGAACCUUUACUAUAGCUUGACACUGAACAUUGAGCCUUGAUGUGUAGGAUAGGUGGGAGGCUUUGAAGUGUGGACGCCAGUCUGCAUGGAGCCGACCUUGAAAUACCACCCUUUAAUGUUUGAUGUUCUAACGUGGACCCGUGAUCCGGGUUGCGGACAGUGUCUGGUGGGUAGUUUGACUGGGGCGGUCUCCUCCUAAAGAGUAACGGAGGAGCACGAAGGUUGGCUAAUCCUGGUCGGACAUCAGGAGGUUAGUGCAAUGGCAUAAGCCAGCUUGACUGCGAGCGUGACGGCGCGAGCAGGUGCGAAAGCAGGUCAUAGUGAUCCGGUGGUUCUGAAUGGAAGGGCCAUCGCUCAACGGAUAAAAGGUACUCCGGGGAUAACAGGCUGAUACCGCCCAAGAGUUCAUAUCGACGGCGGUGUUUGGCACCUCGAUGUCGGCUCAUCACAUCCUGGGGCUGAAGUAGGUCCCAAGGGUAUGGCUGUUCGCCAUUUAAAGUGGUACGCGAGCUGGGUUUAGAACGUCGUGAGACAGUUCGGUCCCUAUCUGCCGUGGGCGCUGGAGAACUGAGGGGGGCUGCUCCUAGUACGAGAGGACCGGAGUGGACGCAUCACUGGUGUUCGGGUUGUCAUGCCAAUGGCACUGCCCGGUAGCUAAAUGCGGAAGAGAUAAGUGCUGAAAGCAUCUAAGCACGAAACUUGCCCCGAGAUGAGUUCUCCCUGACCCUUUAAGGGUCCUGAAGGAACGUUGAAGACGACGACGUUGAUAGGCCGGGUGUGUAAGCGCAGCGAUGCGUUGAGCUAACCGGUACUAAUGAACCGUGAGGCUUAACCUU